RNAcentral lists this ribosomal RNA (86 nucleotides) under Sporosarcina sp. P7. The record is from RNAcentral. RNAcentral also lists the same sequence under 2 other names. Lineage: Bacteria; Bacillati; Bacillota; Bacilli; Caryophanales; Caryophanaceae.
GUUCCCAUACCGAACACGGAAGUUAAGCUCUUCAGCGCCGAUGGUAGUUGGGGGUUUCCCCCUGUGAGAGUAGGACGUUGCUAGGC